ACGUAUAUCACUGCAGCUCAAACAUUUUGUACCACGUCAAAACACUUACAUCUGGUUUAUUUCUUCUUACAGGCGGAGACGUCUGUUUCUCAAUAUCACACUCAACUGCGUGAGGACCGUGACCGUCUGCAGAGCGGUGCAUCUGCGGCCUGCCGAAGAACAAGUGUCCCGUCCCGGUCGCCCAGCAGCUGCAGCACCUCAGGGCCGCCGACCAGAUCCUGGUCCCGAAGGAGGCCAGCACAUCAGCUUCCCGCAACAAUACCUGGCUGCCAUGUCUUACGAUGAAAAUGCUGAGCGACCGAAAGCCCAAACAAAAGAAGGUGAACCACUGUUCAAGGUCCAUUUUCCAAAGGCCGUGAAGGGGGAAUGCAGAGCUACACCAGUUAAGACUAUAAGUGUUAUAUUAUUUUAUUUUUCAACCAAAAAAUGUUUUGUACACAUUGUAAGUAUUAAGUAUGUAAGCAUAAUGUUAUGACAGUUCCACCGACAACAAAAUACAGUAAAGAAAAUGUCAGGAGAUAGUUAGAAAUAGACUUUCAAUCAAUCAAGUUUUGGCGCAAAAACAACACCAUACCUACAGUGAAGGGUGGUGGUGGUGGUGGUGGCGGCGGCGGCGGCGGCGGCAGCGUCGCGCUUUGGGGCUGUUUUUCUUCAGCUGGAACUGGGGCCUUAGUCAGGGUGGAGGGAAUUAUGAACAGUUCCAAAUACCAGUCGGCCUUCUGUUAGAAAGCUGAAGAUGAAGAGGAACUUCAUCUUUGGGCACGAUCUAAAUCAACCAAAGAAUGGCUUCACCGGAAUAAGAUCGAGGCUUUGGAACGGCCCGGCCGGAGUCCAGACCCGGAUCCCAUCGAACAUCUGUGGGGUGAUCUGAAGAGGGCCGUGCACAGGAGAUGCCCUUGCGAUCUGUCAGAUUUGGAGCGGUUUUGCAAAGAAGAGUGGGCAAAUAUUGCCACAUUAAGAUGUGCCACGCUGAUAGGUUCCUACCCAAAAAGAGUGAGUGCUGUAAUAAAAGCCAAAGGUGCUGCAACAAAGUAUUAGUUUAAGGGCGUGCAUAUUUAUGCAACCACGUUCUUUUAAGUUUUUUAUUUUAUAUUUUUCCCCUUUAAAGGUUUCAGUUUGUUUUUCAAUUGCAUUGUACAGGUUAUAGGUCACAUUAAAGGUGGGAAAAGUUGUGAAAUUAUU
Molecule: long non-coding RNA, 1182 nt
Organism: Seriola aureovittata
Lineage: Eukaryota; Metazoa; Chordata; Actinopteri; Carangiformes; Carangidae
Exons: 3
Source: RefSeq, a predicted model, not a curated record